This 433-nucleotide ribosomal RNA is filed under the name uncultured bacterium. Its description in RNAcentral is "partial 16S ribosomal RNA". It matches the Rfam family "Bacterial small subunit ribosomal RNA", at positions 29 to 507 of the family's 1533-position model. The record is from RNAcentral.
AACGAACGCUGGCGGCAUGCCUAACACAUGCAAGUCGAACGAGACCUUCGGGUCUAGUGGCGCACGGGUGCGUAACGCGUGGGAACCUGCCCUUAGGUUCGGAAUAACUCCCCGAAAGGGGUGCUAAUACCGGAUAAUGUCUUCGGACCAAAGAUUUAUCGCCUUUGGAUGGGCCCGCGUUGGAUUAGCUAGUUGGUAGGGUAAAAGCCUACCAAGGCGACGAUCCAUAGCUGGUCUGAGAGGAUGAUCAGCCACACUGGGACUGAGACGCGGCCCAGACUCCUACGGGAGGCAGCAGUGGGGAAUAUUGGACAAUGGGCGAAGGCCUGAUCCAGCAAUGCCGCGUGAGUGAUGAAGGCCUUAGGGUUGUAAAGCGCUUUUACCCGGGAUGAUAAUGACAGUACCGGGAGAAUAAGCUCCGGCUAACUCCGUG